Castor canadensis (American beaver) is the source of this 1113-nucleotide non-coding RNA. The record is from RefSeq and is a predicted model, not a curated record. Lineage: Eukaryota; Metazoa; Chordata; Mammalia; Rodentia; Castoridae.
UUUUGUUAGGUAAAAUAUCACUUUGGUGAUGUGGUAGCCGUACAGCUGUCAGUCCGUUCCUGCUUUCAAACUGUUCCAGGCCAAGAGCAGAGGGCAGGGUGAGUGUUUCAAAGUGGAGUGCAGAGGGAAAGGUAUUCACCAGGAAGCCGAAUUAGGAGGUGAAUGUUAGAUAACAUCCAGCUUUUCUGAUCCUCAGGAACUCUUCAAACUUCCAAUAUUCAUGCUGAGGGAACAAUGUUCACGGGCAUGGAGUCACAAAGAGACAUGGACCUGAAGGAAACUGUCACUUGCUUCAGUGGACUAGAGCAUGCGAUGGUCGGGAAAUCAUAGAGAGGCACUCACUCAUGGUUUACUAGGUUGAACUGUAUUUGUAAUGAAAUCAAGAGAAUGCAUAUCACUCAAACUCAAGGAGAAACUAAAUAAGAAUUUCAAAAUAUUAAAACUCAUCGGUCAUGGUCGUGGUCAUGAGUGCUUUGUAACCAGCUUUCUCCUGACCCUGAGAACACUGGCUAAUGACUCUGGAGGAGGACUUCUACAGUAAUCACAGUGAAUUUAUUUCAAACCAGGACUUGAAUGAAGCAGAUGGCAAAUUUGUAAACUAAUUAAUCACUGUUCUUGGAGUUGCAUUUUGUGUUUAAGAGAGAUAAUAUAGGAUGCAGAUCAAGCUAAGACUUGCCAAGUCAAGCCACAAAAUACAGAAAUUACCUUGCUAAAGCCAGAGCUAUGGAAAAAGGAAAAGACACCUUUACUGUCCUAAUAUUUAACUGCAGAAUUACCUAGUCCUGGCAGGAGUCACUAAAAACUAAUUUUUCUUUAGAUUUAUAAGACCAAGAACAUCAGAUGACCUGCAGAUGACAGCAGCACCAGAAAAGCUGACUGGCCAAAAUUUACAACUACCCUGAUGCUCUCUGCCUGUGGAAUCUGCCUCCCUCAAAUCCCUGUAUGAGCCUGGAGACCACAACCCCAAGGGUACAUUCCUGGUAACUUUGUCAAGAAAUCAGCAGGUAGCUUUGUCUUCCAGUAACUCCACUAAAAGCUUCCAGUUCAAUGGAUGAACGUCUUCUUUUACUUCACUGAGAAAAGGUCAAACUCUGGUUCGCCCUCCAAUCGCCU